CCUGAACGCUGGCGGCGUGGCUAAGACAUGCAAGUCGCACGGAGCCGGGUAGCAAUACCCGGUUUAGUGGCGAACGGGUGAGUAAUGAAUCGCUAAUGUACCCCGGAUUCUGGGAUAGCCAGUCGAAAGGCUGGGUAAUACCAGAUGAUAUAACCGCUUCGCAUGAAGUGGUUCUCAAAGGAGCAAUCCGCUCUGGGAGCAGGCGAUUUCGAUCAGCUGUUGGUGAGGUAACCGGCUCACCAAGGCGACGACGCGUAGCCGAACUGAGAGGUUGGCC
RNAcentral lists this ribosomal RNA (277 nucleotides) under uncultured bacterium. Its description in RNAcentral is "partial 16S ribosomal RNA". It matches the Rfam family "Bacterial small subunit ribosomal RNA", at positions 30 to 305 of the family's 1533-position model. The record is from RNAcentral.